This 35-nucleotide non-coding RNA is filed under the name unclassified sequences. RNAcentral describes it as "DUF805b RNA". It matches the Rfam family "DUF805b RNA". From Rfam's summary of the family: Bacteroidetes, Chlorobi (1 example), Proteobacteria. Lineage (Flavobacteria) The record is from RNAcentral.
UCAGGGGCCGCCGAAAACCUGGAACAGAGUAGGCA